Long non-coding RNA from Zophobas morio, 689 nucleotides. RefSeq lists it as uncharacterized. The record is from RefSeq and is a predicted model, not a curated record. The transcript is spliced from 3 exons. NCBI's taxonomy places the organism in Eukaryota, Metazoa, Arthropoda, Insecta, Coleoptera, Tenebrionidae.
UCAUCCGAGGUCAUCAAGAUGGCAGCGUUUGACAACUAGCCGGUUUUCUCAUAAGAGUUAAUGCUAAUAUUUUCGGAAUUCAUUUAAAUUUGAGAGUGUGUCAACUGUGUUUUUAUAAUUUGGAAAAAAUGCCUAAAUUUUGUGCUGUUGUGGGUUGCGCGAAUCGAAGCACCAGAAAUGCGGACAAAUUUUAUUUUCCUUUCCCAAAAAUUAGCAACAAUAAAGGUAAAUAUAUACAGGAUGGGGAAAAAAGGCGGAAGCUUUGGUUAAAAGCCUUGAAAAGAGUGGAUUUAACGAAGCCAAAGUAAAGUAUUCCUAAUAUUUGUUCGGAUCAUUUUAUUUUAGGUAAACCUGCAGAUUUGUCGGAUGUGGACCAGCCUGAUUAUGUUCCAUCACAAAAUUUAGGAUAUCAAAAUAAAUCCACUCAUAAUACUUGUAAUAUUGAAAGACACAGUCAUUUAAAAAAGAGAAAACUGAAUAAAUGCCUCUAAACUUUUGAAUGCACGAAUUUCAUUGUGGGUUAUUUUACUUAUUCCAAAAAUAAAAAAGUUUAAAAUGGUAUUCAUUGUUAUGGUAGGGACAUCGUCUAAACACAAAUUAAAAUCACUUGUACUCAUUAUAUAAGGAUCCACGCCGUUUAAAAUGUUUAGAUUUUGUACAUAUCUGUUUUUCUCUUUGACGGAACGACA